ACUAUUUUGACAGAUAAGUGUAGUAGAUUUAGAAUCUAUAAAUGUAAUUAUUAUUACAAAUAGUA
This 65-nucleotide transfer RNA is filed under the name Brephallus tramlapensis. RNAcentral's name for it is "tRNA-Leu". The record is from RNAcentral. Lineage: Eukaryota; Metazoa; Arthropoda; Insecta; Blattodea; Blaberidae.